Molecule: transfer RNA, 67 nt
Filed under: Tenthredo tienmushana
Lineage: Eukaryota; Metazoa; Arthropoda; Insecta; Hymenoptera; Tenthredinidae
Description: tRNA-Thr
Source: RNAcentral
GUUUUAAUAGUUUAUAUAAAAAUAUUGAUUUUGUAAAUCAUUGAAAAAAUUUUAAUUUUUUAAAACU